CUUUGAAAGAGUUUGCUUUUCCAUCCAACCCUCUGUAGGACAUAUAGCCUUUUAUAUGCAGAUUGGCAUAAUUACACUUUGAAAUAGCUUUGAAUUCCCUGUAGCUUAGACUGAGAACAUGAAAGGCCAAAUGUUAUAUCGAACUGAAGGAUAUAAAAGUGCACAUACAUCAAUCCAGAAUGACAUAGCUUUACACAGCGAUGUCAGUUUUUGACAGAUUAUUGAAGGGUCUUUAUAAUUGCGGAAGCUGCCUUGGGUAGCAUGAAAACUCUGCCUGGGGAUGGCCUUAUCAGUUGGUCCUUUUCUAUUCUUUCAGUACCAAAGGGUGAGUACACGUUAAAUGAAACAAGAGAAAAACUCUCUGACAAAAGCUUUCUUUCUCUUCUCUUCCCCAGAGAUGACACCUGGCCCCAAAUGGUAAAACACAGUGUGGUCUAAUGAUGAAAUUGUCUACCCGAUCUGUCACACUUGCAGUGGCAGCCUAGAGGAGGAGGGUACCUUUCCGGAAGUCAAUAGAAAACCCACAUGGCAGUCUUCACCUCCGCAGAGCUCCCAGUUAACAGGGCCUCUCGCUCACAGGAGGGGAAAUCCUUUUGCCAGUAACAGACCCAUCAAGGGUAGUUAAAGCACCCACAUUCCUUAUAAGAUAAAAAACGAUAAAAAGAACACGUGGGGUUUUCAUAUGUUCACAAUAUGAAAUCAAUACUAUGCUUAUUUAAAAACAGACUGUAAAAAACUUUAUUUUGAAAGAGGAUAUACUAUUAACUUUUAUUAUCCUGCAAUUAUCCUGACUGCUUUAAGUAAAAGCACAUCUUAAAAUUGUUCUUUUGCAAGAGCUAUGCAUAAACAAUCUAUUUUUUUUCUACUUAAAGGGCAUAUCCUCUCCU
This 887-nucleotide long non-coding RNA is filed under the name Marmota monax (woodchuck). Lineage: Eukaryota; Metazoa; Chordata; Mammalia; Rodentia; Sciuridae. The record is from RNAcentral.